UCCUCAAUAGCUCCUAUGGUAAAGAAGUCGACUAUUAGCUAAUUGGUCGUAGGUUCGACUCCUACUUGGGGAG
Datura stramonium (jimsonweed) is the source of this 73-nucleotide non-coding RNA. The record is from the annotation of a GenBank genome assembly. NCBI's taxonomy places the organism in Eukaryota, Viridiplantae, Streptophyta, Magnoliopsida, Solanales, Solanaceae.